CCCGCCCAGCCACCUGUCAUCCACGACCGUACUCCUCAAGCCAUUCUUGUCUCUACAGGUAGGUGAGCUCUUUCCUCCUCCCCCCUCUCACUUUUGAAUUUAUGCUGGUAGAUGUGUUUGCUGUGGGUUCUGCUGCUGCCAGGUUUGGCUGCUGCUUGGCCUAACUCUACUUGUGCUGCUGCUAUGUGCUACUAUAUGUUGUUGGUUGCCUCCUUGGUUAUUUGUGAAUCUGAAAACACUUUGUGAGAAGCACGGAUUGAAGAGAAGGCUAUGAGCCAAUGAGAAGAGCUUCAUUUUCAGUUUUUGUUAAGAAUUGAUGAAGGACGUGUCAUAUGUUCAGUUGCUAACGUUCUCUCUAUGAUGUAUGCACUUGUUGUUCAUUGCAUUGGAGGGAGAGGAAAACUCUUUGUGAGAAGCAAGGAUUGAAGAGAAGGCUAUGAGCCAGUGAGAAAACCUGAACUUUAGUUUUUUAUUUAAGAAUUGAUGAAGGAUAUGUCAUAUGUUCAGUUACUUACAUAUUCUCUAUGGUGUAUGUACCUGUUGUUCAUUGCAUUCGAGGGAGAGGACAACAAGAGUAAGAAAGUCUUGUGGCGUGAAGGCAGUAGCACGCAGCGCCAAGUCAAGCGCAUUGGCCUCGAUGGCAAGAGACCAGUACCAUCAGGUUCGCUUGACUGCUUGCUAGCCCGGCAUUGAACAAUACCCUUAAUAAAGCUACAUGGUGUACGCUAAUUGUCAUAUUUUGACCGACAAAUCUGUUUGAAUAGAUUAUAUAAGAUUGAUGUGAUUAUCGGAUGAUUGCAGUCUACCCCAGGAGUACACGAGAAAGAAGUGCUACUGCUACAUUACUGCUGCUUGCCAAGGGAAAAGAGAGUUCCAUUGUAAAAUAAGAUGCCAGAUUUGCAUAGAUCAAUGAGGAUUCGUGCGGCAGGGAGGGGACUGGUGAUAGGAAACAUGGGUCCAAGAAGAAAUCAAAGAGCAUGGUAUUGUUCAAUCCAUCAGUAGCCAGCGGAUGUCGUGCUGUGAUUAAGGUUUGCCACCUUCCUCUGCUACAUCGCUUAGUUUUAUGGGCCAUUCUUAGAAUACUAUGUGCUUGCUCUUUUUGGCUGUGGCAUGUGAAUAUGAUGCUUACCAACAUUAUUGUAGAAUUUGUUUCUCGGUGAUGUAAAACUUAUAGCUAUUAAAGGAAGCCCUUGGUUUGUGUUAGGUACUUGUGACAUUUGGUGGAACUGUAUGACAAAUAGUGAAAGAAUACAAAUUACCAAUGGUGUAGUUACAUAGAGAGAAGAUACUCACAUAGCAACUGUAGCAGCUCCACCCAUAGGCCGAGCUGGCCCCUCUGCAUAAACCUGAACAUAAUAUGGGACAUCAAAUGAGUGUUGCACGGAGACAAAAGGAAGAGAAACUGAAUCCACUUAGUGCAACAGUUAGAUGGCCAUAUUGGGUGACU
Molecule: non-coding RNA, 1447 nt
Organism: Aegilops tauschii subsp. strangulata
Lineage: Eukaryota; Viridiplantae; Streptophyta; Magnoliopsida; Poales; Poaceae
Source: RefSeq, a predicted model, not a curated record